GCCCCUGUGGUGUAGAGGCCAAGCAUAGAGCCCUUUCAAGGCUUUGACCCGGGUUCGAAUCCCGGCAGGGGCA
This 73-nucleotide transfer RNA is filed under the name Nanobdellota archaeon. Its description in RNAcentral is "tRNA-Glu". It matches the Rfam family "tRNA". Rfam says of the family: Transfer RNA (tRNA) molecules are approximately 80 nucleotides in length. Their secondary structure includes four short double-helical elements and three loops (D, anti-codon, and T loops). The record is from RNAcentral. Lineage: Archaea; Nanobdellati; Nanobdellota.